This 68-nucleotide transfer RNA is filed under the name Pleurobranchaea novaezealandiae. RNAcentral's name for it is "tRNA-Met". The record is from RNAcentral. Lineage: Eukaryota; Metazoa; Mollusca; Gastropoda; Pleurobranchida; Pleurobranchidae.
UGAAUAGGUAAGCUAAGUUUUAAGCUUUUGGGCUCAUAACCCAACAAUGGAUUCAUCUCCCCUAUUUA